Non-coding RNA from Monodelphis domestica (gray short-tailed opossum), 46 nucleotides. NCBI's taxonomy places the organism in Eukaryota, Metazoa, Chordata, Mammalia, Didelphimorphia, Didelphidae. The record is from Rfam.
CAAAAGGCCCUUUUUAGGGCCGCCCACCUUGUCACUUAAAAGGAGU